AACAAGACACUGUAUUCUGUUUAUUAUGUCAAUGACAAAAAGCAUUCUGAUUAUUUUGAAAUAAUAAUUCUAAAUGUACUCUUAAGAAUCAGAAAUGUCAUCUUUCAUUGUUUGCGUUGGCUGUACAUUAACAAUGUUUCACUUCAAUAUUUAGAAAAAAGAAGAACAAAGCUCAGUCACCUACAGGUAAAGAAUGAUGCAUGAAUGACAACUCCUCCCCUACAAAUAAACGGCACAAUUCUCUUUUGCUUCAACAUCACCAGAAAAUAUGAAAACCCACCAUCUCUACCAGGAAAAAAGACAGAUGACUGUUGUGAUUAAGACUGGUUAUAAUAAUAAUAAUAAUAAUAAUAAUAAUAAUAAUAAUAAUAAUAAUAAUAAUAAUAAUAAUGAUAAUAAUUUUAAUGCACUUUAAGUUAACAGAUGCUUUGCUUUUUAAUAGUACAAUGCAACUUUAUAGCAGCACUCCAUUAUGUUCAAUAGUUAGAUGUUAAUUUGGGGAGGCAACAUAUUAUCACUGUCACAAAAAUUAUGUAAAUAACUGCUUGAUGCAAGUAAAGGAUGUGAACAAUGAAAUAAAUUCCUGUAGCUGAAACAUGUUUAAUAAUUAGAACCAUAAAGCCAACCUAGAAUCCAGCCACUAACACACACAAAUGUGUCAUGUGCUGUGAGUGCCAGCAUGAACUCAUAAGAAUUGAGAUAUAUUUUAUGUCCAUAUUUUUGCACAUUUUUACAUGUUUUUUUUUUUUUUUUUUUUUUUUAAAUAUGUACUGUGGUUGCCUGAGUAAAAAUGUCUGAUUCACUGCACAAAAGACAGCAUUGAAUGACACUGGUCUACAAGU
Long non-coding RNA from Sphaeramia orbicularis (orbiculate cardinalfish), 842 nucleotides. RefSeq lists it as uncharacterized. NCBI's taxonomy places the organism in Eukaryota, Metazoa, Chordata, Actinopteri, Kurtiformes, Apogonidae. The transcript is spliced from 3 exons. The record is from RefSeq and is a predicted model, not a curated record.